CGGGGUGAGUAAUGUCUGGGAAACUGCCUGAUGGAGGGGGAUAACUGCUGGAAACGGUAGCUAAUACCGCAUAACGUCGCAAGACCAAAGAAGGGGACCUUCGGGCCUCUUGCCAUCGGAUGUGCCCAGAUGGGAUUAGCUAGUAGGUGGGGUAACGGCUCACCUAGGCGACGAUCCCUAGCUGGUCUGAGAGGAUGACCAGCCACACUGGAACUGAGACACGGUCCAG
Molecule: ribosomal RNA, 229 nt
Filed under: uncultured bacterium
Lineage: Bacteria
Description: partial 16S ribosomal RNA
Rfam family: Bacterial small subunit ribosomal RNA
Source: RNAcentral